This 375-nucleotide unclassified non-coding RNA is filed under the name Hevea brasiliensis (rubber tree). The record is from RNAcentral. Lineage: Eukaryota; Viridiplantae; Streptophyta; Magnoliopsida; Malpighiales; Euphorbiaceae.
AUUAAUCAAAACUAACAUAAGACUGUUCGAUUGCUGCAGAUGCCUGAAAAAAGAAAUAGGAAAGGAAGCAAUGAGGAUGUAUGGAAUGCACCUGUUGGUGCUAUCACACGCCUAUAGUAUAGGGUGGCUGAAACAGGCUGCGGAGUUAGCACUGGCUGAACAAUUGACAACAGAGGUGGUGGUGGAUGUACUUCAUCUUGCGAGACAGUGUGAUGCUUCACAACUGUACAUUCGUUGCAUGAAGUGGAUUGCCAAGAACUUUGCAGCUGUCGAGAAAACCGAGGGUUGGAGGUUUGUACACGCGCAUGAUCCCUGGCUCGAGAUCAACGUACUGCAGUUCCUCCAGGAUACAGAUCUAAGGAUAAAUCGCAGAAG